Molecule: ribosomal RNA, 569 nt
Filed under: uncultured bacterium
Lineage: Bacteria
Description: partial 16S ribosomal RNA
Rfam family: Bacterial small subunit ribosomal RNA
Source: RNAcentral
UGGGGAAUUUUGGACAAUUGGGCGAAAGCCUGAUCCAGCAAUGCCGCGUGUGUGAAGAAGGCCUUCGGGUUGUAAAGCACUUUUGUCCGGAAAGAAAUCCUUGGCUCUAAUACAGUCGGGGGAUGACGGUACCGGAAGAAUAAGCACCGGCUAACUACGUGCCAGCAGCCGCGGUAAUACGUAGGGUGCAAGCGUUAAUCGGAAUUACUGGGCGUAAAGCGUGCGCAGGCGGUUUGCUAAGACCGAUGUGAAAUCCCCGGGCUCAACCUGGGAACUACAUUGGUGACUGGCAGGCUAGAGUAUGGCAGAGGGGGGUAGAAUUCCACGUGUAGCAGUGAAAUGCGUAGAGAUGUGGAGGAAUACCGAUGGCGAAGGCAGCCCCCUGGGCCAAUACUGACGCUCAUGCACGAAAGCGUGGGGGAGCAAAACAGGAUUUAGAUACCCCUGGUAGUCCACGCCCUAAANGAUGUCAACUAGUUGUUGGGGAUUCAUUUCCUUAGUAACGUAGCUAACGCGUGAAGUUGACCGCCUGGGGAGUACGGUCGCAAGAUUAAAACUCAAAUGAAUUG